This 253-nucleotide ribosomal RNA is filed under the name uncultured bacterium. RNAcentral's name for it is "partial 16S ribosomal RNA". It matches the Rfam family "Bacterial small subunit ribosomal RNA", at positions 524 to 776 of the family's 1533-position model. The record is from RNAcentral.
UACGUAGGGUGCAAGCGUUGUCCGGAAUCAUUGGGCGUAAAGCGCGUGUAGGCGGUUCUGUAAGUCGGCUGUGAAAGUCCAGGGCUCAACCCUGGGAUGCCGGUCGAUACUGCCGGACUAGAGUUCGGAAGAGGCGAGUGGAAUUCCCGGUGUAGCGGUGAAAUGCGCAGAUAUCGGGAGGAACACCAAUUGCGAAGGCAGCUCGCUGGGACGUUACUGACGCUGAGACGCGAAAGCGUGGGGAGCAAACAGG